This 3456-nucleotide ribosomal RNA is filed under the name Triticum aestivum (bread wheat). Its description in RNAcentral is "partial small subunit ribosomal RNA". The record is from RNAcentral. Lineage: Eukaryota; Viridiplantae; Streptophyta; Magnoliopsida; Poales; Poaceae.
AUGGCAGAGUCGCUGCUUCUCCCUCUGGUGCGCGGUGUGGCCAGCAAGGCUGCAGGCACACUCGUGGAGACGGUGACCCGCAUGUGUGGCCUUGACGACGACCGCCGAACGCUAGAGCGUCAGCUGCUAGCCAUCGAGUGCAAGCUGGCCAACGCCGAGGAGAGGAGCGAGACAAAUUGCUAUGUCGAGAGCUGGAUGAAGGAGCUCAAGUCCGUCGCCUACGAGGCCGACGACGUGCUCGACGACUUCCAGUACGAGGCACUGCGCCGCCAGUCUAAGAUUGGCAAGUCCACUACCCGCAAGGUACUUGGCUACAUCACGCACCGCAGCCCAUUGCUCUUCCGGUUUGAGAUGAGCAAGAAACUCAAAAACAUCCUUGAGAAGAUCAAUAGGUUGGUUGAGGAGAUGAACAAGUUUGGUCUGGAGAAUUCUGUCCAUAGGGAAGAGCAGCAACAUCCUUGGCGGCAGACGCACUCCAAACUGGACAACUCUACAAAAAUAUUUGGAAGAUAUGAUGAUAAGGAGGUGGUAGUGAAGUCGCUGCUAGACCAGCAAGAAGAGCAGAAGGUGCAGGUGCUGCCCAUCUUUGGGAUGGGAGGUCUUGGCAAGACAACUCUCGCUAAGAUGGUGUAUAAUGACCAAGGUGUCCAGCAACAUUUUCAGUUGAAGAUGUGGUACUGUGUGGCCGACAACUUUGAUGCCAUUGCUCUAUUGAAAUCUAUCAUUCAGUUGGCUCAAAAUAAAAGAUGUGAGAUGUCUGACACCAUUGAGCUGUUGCAAAAGCAACUUGAGGAAGUCAUUGGCCAAAAAAGGUUUAUACUUGUGCUUGAUGAUGUGUGGAAUGAAGAUGAGAGGAGCUGGGAGGAUGUCCUGAAGCCUCUUUUGUGUUCUCUUGGUGGACUAGGAAGCGUAAUAGUCGUCACAACUCGAAGCCAGAAAGUGGCCUCUAUAAUGCAGACCCUUCGACCCCAUAAGCUAGCAUGUCUGAGUGAACAAGAUUCUUGGGAAUUGUUUGCACAGAAAGCAUAUAGCAACGGAGUAGAGCAGGAGCAAGCAGAGUUGGUCAGCAUUGGCAGACGUAUUGUCAACAAAUGCAGGGGGUUGCCUCUUGCUCUCAAGACAAUGGGUGGAUUGCUAAGUUCAUAUCAACAAGUACAAGAAUGGAAGGCCGUUGAAGAAAAUAAUAUUGGGGAUAAUGUUAGAGGCACAGAUGAGAUCAUGUCUAUAUUAAAGUUGAGCUACAGACACCUAUCAUCUGAAAUGAAGCAAUGUUUUGCAUUUUUAGCAGUUUUCCCCAAGGACUGUGAGAUGGACAAGGACAUCUUGAUCCAGCUAUGGAUAGCAAAUGGUUUUAUUCAAGAGAAGGGAACAAUGGAUUUGACACAAAGAGGAGAAUUCAUUUUUGAUGAGCUGGUUUGGAGGUCCUUCCUCCAAGAUAAGCAAGAGUUCAGACAACAUUUGAGUAUAGGAAGUUAUGUGAGUAUUAACUGCAAAAUGCAUGAUUUAAUGCAUGAUCUAGCAAAAGAUGUCACAGAUGAAUGUGCAAGUAUAGAAGAACUGACUCAGCAAAAAGCAUUGUUAAAAGAUGUUUGUCACAUGCAAAUGUCAGAUACUGAAUUGAAACCAAUCAGUGGGUUAUGCAAAGACAGAACAUACCUCCGCACUUUAUUAGCUUGUUCAGAAUCACACAAGGAUUUUAAAGCGUUGCUACAGGUAUCAGCCUCACUAAGAGCAUUGAAGUGCUUUGCUUCUUCAUUUGUCGUUUGCAAGGCCAUAAAUGUAAAACAUUUACGGUAUCUUGACCUCUCUGGGUCUAACAUCGUUAGCUUGCCAGAUUCAAUAUGCGAGUUAUAUUACUUGCAAACACUGAGGCUCAUAGAAUGCCAGAAGCUGCGGUGGUUACCAGAAGACAUGGCAAGACUAAGAAAGCUCAUGCAUCUUUAUCUUUCUGGUUGUGGUAGUCUCGAAAGUAUGUGUCCCAACUUUGGUCUACUGAACAACCUUCACAUAUUAACAACAUUUGUUGUGGAUACUGGAGAUGGCCUUGGAAUAGAGCAACUCAAAGACAUACAACACCUUAGCAAUAGGUUGGAGUUGUUCAACCUGAGCAAGAUAAAGAGUGGGGGGAAUGCAAAAGAAGCCAAUCUCAGUCGAAAGCAAAAUCUAAGUGAGUUAUUGUUCUCUUGGGACCAAGAAAGGUAUGAUAAGCCUAAUGAUGUGGAAGAAGUGCUCCAGUGUUUAGAACCUCAUAGUAAUAUCCAAAAGUUCGAGAUACGUGGAUAUGGUGGCCUACAAAUAUCACAAUGGAUGAGAAAGCCUCAGAUGUUUAACUCCUUGAGAGAACUCGCAAUGUCCAACUGCCCAAGGUGCAAGAGUAUACCUGUAGUAUGGCUCUCGGUCUCUCUAGAGACACUGUCGUUACGGAGGAUGGAUAAUCUGGCCACAUUAUGUAAUAAUUUUGAUGUGGAAGCUGGAGGACGCAUUACCCCUCUACAAAUGUUCCCAAGGUUGAAGAAGAUGGUGUUGUUUGAGUUAGCAAGCCUGGAGAUAUGGGUACAAAAUAGUGGGUGGGAGCCUAUCGACAGCUUGGUAACGUUCCCGAUGCUUCAAGAGCUAAGGAUCGAAAAUUGCCCCAAGCUUGCAAGUAUUCCAGUGAUCCCCAUUGUCAGCGAGUUGACAAUAGUUGGGGUUCACAGUACUGCAGUGGGUUUAGUUUUUACGAGGAUAGAUUUGGGCUCCUGGCCAUUUCUUGACAGCUUAACCCUUGGGUCUCCAGAAAACAUGCCCAUGUUGUCUCUAGAGACCCAAAAUCAAAGAUAUCUUGGAAAAAUGAACCAUUGGAGUCUAGUUUCCCAAAGUCAAAGAUCUCUUAAAAAGCUUAAGCGUUUGACUCUGGAAGGGCCCAACAGCUUGGUCACAAGCUCCGGAUCGUACAGAUCACAACUUAUGUUUCAGAAAUGCUUUCAAUUCGUGGAAGAUCUGACGAUUGAUAGAUGCAGCAAUCUUGUCCGCUGGCCAACAGAGGAGCUCCGGAGGUUGGAUUGUCUUCGUGUUUUGCGUAUCACUUCUUGUAUGAACCUGGAGGGGAACACUUCAUCGUCUAAUAUGAAAACCCUUCCGCUGUCCUUGGAGGAAUUAAUGAUUGCAUACUGCUAUAGAAUGGUGGCACUGCCUUCGAACCUUGGAAAUCUUGCCAAGCUGGUGCAUCUCCAUGUGAAGUUCUGCAGUGGUCUUAAAGUGCUGCCUGAUGGGAUGUGUGGCCUCACUUCUCUUAGGGAUUUGAGAAUUUGGGGUUGUCCAGCUAUGGAGAAAUUCCCGCAUGGUCUCCUGGAGCGGUUGCCAGCCCUUGAAUUCUUAAUCAUAGGACACUGCCCGGAGUUGCAAAGACGAUGUAGAGAAGGUGGAGAGUAUUUCGACUUGGUGUCCGUUGUCCCACAUAAAUCAGUAUCCACAUGA